GUUACAAUUAACAAGAAUCCCUAUUAGGGANCUAUUAGGGAUUGAAAC
RNAcentral lists this non-coding RNA (48 nucleotides) under Limnoraphis robusta CS-951. Lineage: Bacteria; Bacillati; Cyanobacteriota; Cyanophyceae; Oscillatoriales; Sirenicapillariaceae. The record is from RNAcentral.